UAUGCUCCUUUCGCGUUUCCCGACUGCCGCCGCCCUACCCCGUGGCGGCUAGGUUAACGCCGCCAGCCUCCUUCCUCCACGCUGAAUCCACUACGCGACGUCGUCGGCUCUUCAAACUUGUCCUCCACCGCUCCUGAUCGACGACCUCGUUGUCUCCUUCGAGCCCCUUCUCCAUCACGACAUGCCCGCGCUGGUCGAUGCCAUCAUCCCAGAUGCCCCUUCUCCAUCACGCCUUAGAGCCGAUCUAUACGAACUAUGAACGCCCCCAGAUGGUCAAGCUCUUUAGCCAGCAUCCCAUAGCCUCAUCAAGAUAUGAUCGUGUCCAGCUUCGCACUCUGGCCCGCAGGGUGGAGAGAGACGGCAGGUCUUAAUUUUUUAUUGUGUGGUCUCCUUCCUCCUUUAUCCAGAUAGGGUUUGGGGUGGUGGUCGAGUCCAGCGAGCAGCCUCAUCUCACUCGACUUCCACAAUCUCACCCCUGGUGGUAUCUUCCCUCCCGUGCUUGAUUUUGGUUCCCAUGGACCAUGGUGCUAUCUUCCCUCCUGUCUCCCUCCUUUGAUUCUAACCUGGUCUUCUUUGAUGCGUUGUCUUGGUUUAGAUUAUGCAAGAUUAGGUGAUGUUGUCUACCCACAUUUAUAGAAGUGGAUCGCAGAUGCGAUGUAGCAGAGAGAGGGGCCUUGAGAGGUGAGCUGCUGCUGCUACUCCUCUGUGUGAAUUUUGAGUUUGCUAACCACAUGUACCAUGUGUGGUUGCUGCUACUCCUCUGUUAUUACACAUCUAGGGGAAAUAGCCAGGGAGAGAGAAGACUAUGGGGGAGAAAAGAAAGGAGAGGAGUUAGCCAAGAUUCAGGACAAAAUUCGUCAUCUUUGAGCUGAAGCUUUUGCCUCAAAAGGUCCUUUGCAGGUUCCUUUGGCAAUGUGUUGCUGGUUGUCAACAUGAUUAGAGAUACUUUCUGCCACAAAGGUUCAGUUUCUAACGAAGCAGUCCAGCAAGUAAAGUUGUAUUUAUCUUGAUGUAGUCAAAUAAGAUUUUGUGAGUUACUACUCCAGAUAUGCUACAUGUAAUAGACAUGCAUGUACGCAUGUAUUUAACCAUCUAGAAAAGAGGCUGUAUUCCUGUUGAAAGCUAUAUUAAAUCCUAAUUUUUGACUCUUCGGAUGAAA
Triticum aestivum (bread wheat) is the source of this 1159-nucleotide long non-coding RNA. RefSeq lists it as uncharacterized. The record is from RefSeq and is a predicted model, not a curated record. The transcript has 2 exons. Lineage: Eukaryota; Viridiplantae; Streptophyta; Magnoliopsida; Poales; Poaceae.